AGAGUUUGAUCCUGGCUCAGAUUAAACGCUGGCGGCAUGCCUUACACAUGCAAGUCGAACGGCAGCACGGGGGCAACCCUGGUGGCGAGUGGCGGACGGGUGAGUAAAGCAUCGGAACGUAUCCUGGAGUGGGGGAUAACGUAGCGAAAGUUACGCUAAUACCGCAUAUUCUGUGAGCAGGAAAGCAGGGGAUCGCAAGACCUUGCGCUCUGGGAGCGGCCGAUGUCGGAUUAGCUAGUUGGUGGGGUAAAGGCCUACCAAGGCGACGAUCCGUAGCGGGUCUGAGAGGAUGAUCCGCCACACUGGGACUGAGACACGGCCCAGACUCCUACGGGAGGCAGCAGUGGGGAAUUUUGGACAAUGGGCGCAAGCCUGAUCCAGCCAUGCCGCGUGAGUGAAGAAGGCCUUCGGGUUGUAAAGCUCUUUCGGCGGGGAAGAAAUUGCACGGGUUAAUACCCUGUGUAGAUGACGGUACCCGAAUAAGAAGCACCGGCUAACUACGUG
RNAcentral lists this ribosomal RNA (504 nucleotides) under uncultured bacterium. RNAcentral's name for it is "bacterial SSU rRNA". It matches the Rfam family "Bacterial small subunit ribosomal RNA", at positions 8 to 507 of the family's 1533-position model. The record is from RNAcentral.